RNAcentral lists this ribosomal RNA (1401 nucleotides) under uncultured prokaryote. RNAcentral's name for it is "partial 16S ribosomal RNA". It matches the Rfam family "Bacterial small subunit ribosomal RNA". The record is from RNAcentral.
AGCGGCAGGCUUAACACAUGCAAGUCGAGGGGUAACGAUGGUGCUUGCACCAGGCGACGACCGGCGAACGGGUGAGUAACGCGUGUGCAACCUACCCAUAACUUGAGAAUAGCCCGAAGAAAUUGAAAUUAAUACCCCAUAGUAUUAUAAUACCGCAUGGUAUAAUAAUUAAAGUUCUGACGGUUAUGGAUGGGCAUGCGUGCCAUUAGCUAGUUGGUGGGGUAACAGCCCACCAAGGCGAUGAUGGCUAGGGGGUCUUAAAGGAUGGUCCCCCACACUGGUACUGAGACACGGACCAGACUCCUACGGGAGGCAGCAGUGAGGAAUAUUGGUCAAUGGGCGCAAGCCUGAACCAGCCAUGCCGCGUGCAGGAAGACGGCCCUAUGGGUUGUAAACUGCUUUUAUAUGGGAAGAAAACGUUCUACGUGUAGAGCAUUGACGGUACCAUAAGAAUAAGCAUCGGCUAACUCCGUGCCAGCAGCCGCGGUAAUACGGAGGAUGCAAGCGUUAUCCGGAUUUAUUAGGUUUAAAGGGUGUGUAGGCGGAACUUUAAGUCAGUGGUGAAAUCUUUCGGCUCAACCGGAAAACUGCCAUUGAUACUGGAAUUCUUGAGUAUAGUUGAGGUAGGCGGAAUGUGUAAUGUAGCGGUGAAAUGCUUAGAUAUUACACAGAACACCGAUUGCGAAGGCAGCUUACUAAGCUGCGACUGACGCUGAUGGACGAAAGCGUGGGUAGCGAACAGGAUUAGAUACCCUGGUAGUCCACGCCGUAAACGAUGAUCACUCGUUGUGUGCGAUACAUUGUACGUGACUGAGCGAAAGCAUUAAGUGAUCCACCUGGGGAGUACGUUCGCAAGAAUGAAACUCAAAGGAAUUGACGGGGGCCCGCACAAGCGGAGGAACAUGUGGUUUAAUUCGAUGAUACGCGAGGAACCUUACCUGGACUUAAAUGUAGUGCAUAAACGGGAAGCUGUUUUUUCCUUCGGGACUCUUUACAAGGUGCUGCAUGGUUGUCGUCAGCUCGUGCCGUGAGGUGUCGGGUUAAGGCCCAUAACGAGCGCAACCCCUAUCGUUAGUUGCCAGCGAGUCAAGUCGGGGACUCUAACGAGACUGCCGGUGUAAACCGCGAGGAAGGUGGGGAUGACGUCAAAUCAGCACGGCCCUUACGGCCAGGGCUACACACGUGUUACAAUGGCCGAUACAAAGGGCAGCUACCAGGUGACUGGAUGCUAAUCUCUAAAGUCGGUCUUAGUUCGGAUCGAAGUCUGCAACUCGACUUCGGGAAGCUGGAUUCCCUAGUAAUCGGAGAUCAGCAACGCUACGGUGAAUACGUUGCCGGGCCUUGUACACACCGCCCGUCAAGCCAUGGAAGCUGGGGGUACCUGAAGUCUGUCACCGCAAG